Molecule: RNA transcript, 1690 nt
Organism: Cucumis melo (muskmelon)
Lineage: Eukaryota; Viridiplantae; Streptophyta; Magnoliopsida; Cucurbitales; Cucurbitaceae
Exons: 6
Source: RefSeq, a predicted model, not a curated record
UCCAUUUCACACUCGCGAUAGCUACUCCAUGUUCUACUGUGAUCUCCCUCUCCUCUCUUCAUUGUUCAAAACACGUAAAACACAUUAUUGUUGUUUGUGAGUUCGUCGUCUCUCUAUCAUCUGAUGUUGUCUUCGUCCAUCGUCACUCUCCUUUUUGUCGUUCAAUCGGCCACCGAAACGUAACCGGCCUAUUCGUCAUUCAACCGGCCACUGAAAUGUAAUCGGCCUGUUUGUCGUUGUCAUCAAAGCCUAACGGCCACGUUGUUCGUCAUUCAACCGAAACCCACGCCAAAACAAUACUUUUUGACGAUACCAGAUUUUUGUUCAUCGUUCAACUGAAACCCAUUUUUGCGUUUUUCGAAUCAAGGAUGUGGGUCGUUUAAAAUUCUGCCAAUAUACCAUCGUCUUCAAAUAUUUAUUCUUCUUCUUCAGCAACCAACAACACAAUCGUGGGUUAUACCUCGUGGAACUCCCCUUUUGAUCCAUCUACAGUCCUUUAGGUUGAAAUGGAGAGAGGUUUACAAGAUACCGUGGGACUAAAAGUAAAAGGAAAGAGAAGGUCUACACGAAGGAAGCUUAUUGACGAUAGUCUACUUAUUCCAAAUGAGCAAAACAAGGAAAGUUUAUCACCCAAGCCUAGUGAGAAGAUAGUUGAAGGUAAUCCUAUAUUACACUCACCAACUGCUCGAACAAGAUUAACAAUUCAUAGGCAAGCAACAACUUCUAUCGUGAAUGAGAAGCCAUUGCCUAAUAAGAAGCCAGUUCAAGAUCAUGUUGUAAAUGAAGAACCUCCAUUGGAAAAGACAAUUUUUCCUAGUGAGAAGGCGCUUGAAGAUCAUGUUGUCAAUGAAGAACCCCCAUUUGAAACGAUGCCUUUGCCAAAAAAGACAAGAGGACCUACAAAAAUGAAGAGAAUAGCCAUUGAAAAACAAUCAAGAGUGGACACUUUUUUCAAUGAAUAUGGACAACUCAUUGGUGAUGAAUUGGUAGGAUUGGCCUCUUUUCUUGGACCACUAGUGAGGGAGGUUGUACCAGUGAAUCUUGAGAAUUGGCUAAAACUACCAACAAGAUUGAAAGUCGUGUUAUGAAAAUCUAUCCAGUCAAGGUACAAUGUGGAAGAUUGGCAAAAAAAGUUUUUCUUACAAAAGAUAGGUAGAUUAUAAAGGGCUGGAAAAUUUCGUUUAGUAAAAUAAAUUCGAGAUGCCUCAACAAAGGAUGCAAUUUUGAAGUUGAUGCCUGAUAAUUUGCAAUCUGUAGAUGAUUGGAUGGAUUUUGUGAGUGACAAGACUAGUGCAAACUUCAAGUUGAAAAGUGAAAAGUACAAAGCCAUGAAGAAAAAACAACUCCCACAUACAUAUAGUAGAAAAGGGUAUGCUCGUUUGGCUGAAGAGAUGAGAAAAAUUAGUUCAGAUCCAUCUUCGGUCACAAGGGUUGCAUUAUGGACUAAAGCACACAAAAGGAAGGAUGGAAAACCGGUGAAUUCACAAGUUGCCGAGACACUUGUAUGUCUUCUUUGCAAUUUAUGUUCUUGUUCUUAGACUUUAUUAUCGUUGUAACCUUGUUGAAUCUUGCUAUCUUUGAUUAUAUAUGUUGUUGGGUCUUUCUGUGUGCAGGAAUCUUUAGUUUUAUGAGAUUUAUUUCUGUGUGCAUGAUGCUUUGUUCUUCCUCUGAUUAGUUAUUAAAUACAGUA